This 629-nucleotide long non-coding RNA is filed under the name Salvator merianae (Argentine black and white tegu). Its description in RNAcentral is "lncRNA (ENSSMRG00000002461.1)". Lineage: Eukaryota; Metazoa; Chordata; Lepidosauria; Squamata; Teiidae. The record is from RNAcentral.
AAUGUUGCUGUUCAUGCCAAUGGCAGUGUCAGGGAGUUUCCAGGCACUCAGUGUCAGAAUAUUGGCUGCUAUCAGAUCUUAUGAAGUAUGGAAAGCAAACAGGCCUGCUCUGGCACCUGCAAGGUGAAAUUCUUUGAUGAGUGUUGCCAGAUCUGUGAAGGAAAAUAAGAAGAGUCCUAAUGAACCAACAGAUGUUUGCAAACCUGCCUGCUCUGACCAUUCUACUGUCCCAGGUUCAGGACAACGAUAAGGACAUCUCAGAGAUCAAGCCCCUCUUUUCAGUCAGUGUGGAUCAUCAAGUGCCUAGAAUGGACUGUGGAUCUCUGCAGAGAUGCCGGCAGGCUUCUUUGGAUUCCUUUUCUGUUAAAUGGCCAAGAGCAACAAUCAAGCAUAAACCACUUCAGAAAAAACUUUUCAUGUCCAUCUUGUCCUUUCUGCAUUUUCAGCAGGAGAGCAAAGAGUUCCAUGCACUGAACUCCUUACCCAUUGUCCUUUGUUACUUGGCACUGCAGAACUGUAAUUGCUACCAGCAGUCAGCUUUGGAAAAGGGAGGAGGACAAGAGAAGAUUGUUUUAGCGGGAGGGGAGGGGAGCAGAUUGCAAAAAGCCAGGAACAUUUUCUUGCACUAG